UACGUAGGUGGCAAGCGUUAUCCGGAUUUAUUGGGCGUAGAGGGAACGCAGGCGGUCUUUUAAGUCUGAUGUGAAAGCCUUCGGCUUAACCGGAGUAGUGCAUUGGAAACUGGGAGACUUGAGUGCAGAAGAGGAGAGUGGAACUCCAUGUGUAGCGGUGAAAUGCGUAGAUAUAUGGAAGAACACCAGUGGCGAAAGCGGCUCUCUGGUCCGUAACUGACGCUGAGGUUCGAAAGCGUGGGUAGCAAACAGG
This 253-nucleotide ribosomal RNA is filed under the name uncultured bacterium. Its description in RNAcentral is "partial 16S ribosomal RNA". It matches the Rfam family "Bacterial small subunit ribosomal RNA", at positions 524 to 776 of the family's 1533-position model. The record is from RNAcentral.